AGAAUUACCUCGUCGGUCUAGAAGGAGAAAAAGCCAACAGAAACAUAAAAAGGAAAAACAUGAGGUGGUCCCCAUGGGUCAUGGCGCUCAGGACGGGAUGAGUCCCAAGGAUUUAAACUUCAGAGCCAACCAGCGAGGUAGGUGAUGACAGUUGUUGUCCUAACAUUCUGAUUUGCCACGGUUUU
Molecule: long non-coding RNA, 185 nt
Filed under: Sus scrofa (pig)
Lineage: Eukaryota; Metazoa; Chordata; Mammalia; Artiodactyla; Suidae
Description: lncRNA (ENSSSCG00035074637.1)
Source: RNAcentral